AACGAACGCUGGCGGCAUGCCUAACACAUGCAAGUCGAACGAUACUUUCGGGCAUAGUGGCGCACGGGUGCGUAACGCGUGGGAAUCUGCCCUUGGGUUCGGAAUAACAGUGAGAAAUUGCUGCUAAUACCGGAUGAUGUCUUCGGACCAAAGAUUUAUCGCCCAGGGAUGAGCCCGCGUAGGAUUAGCUAGUUGGUGGGGUAAUGGCCUACCAAGGCGACGAUCCUUAGCUGGUCUGAGAGGAUGAUCAGCCACACUGGGACUGAGACACGGCCCAGACUCCUACGGGAGGCAGCAGUGGGGAAUAUUGGACAAUGGGGGCAAGCCUGAUCCAGCAAUGCCGCGUGAGUGAUGAAGGCCUUAGGGUUGUAAAGCUCUUUUACCCGGGAUGAUAAUGACAGUACCGGGAGAAUAAGCUCCGGCUAACUCCGUG
This 433-nucleotide ribosomal RNA is filed under the name uncultured bacterium. RNAcentral describes it as "partial 16S ribosomal RNA". It matches the Rfam family "Bacterial small subunit ribosomal RNA", at positions 29 to 507 of the family's 1533-position model. The record is from RNAcentral.